This 401-nucleotide ribosomal RNA is filed under the name uncultured bacterium. Its description in RNAcentral is "bacterial SSU rRNA". It matches the Rfam family "Bacterial small subunit ribosomal RNA", at positions 355 to 773 of the family's 1533-position model. The record is from RNAcentral.
UGGGGAAUAUUGGACAAUGGGGGCAACCCUGAUGCAGCGACGCCGCGUGAGCGAUGAAGCCCUUCGGGGUGUAAAGCUCUUUCGGCAGGGAAGAUUAUGACGGUACCUGCAGAAGCAGCUGCGGCUAACUACGUGCCAGCAGCCGCGGUAAUACGUAGGCAGCAAGCGUUGUUCGGAGUUACUGGGCGUAAAGGGUGUGUAGGCGGUUCCCUAAGUUUGGUGUGAAAUCUCCCGGCUCAACUGGGAGGGUGCGCCGAAAGCUGGGGAGCUAGAGUGUGGGAGAGGAAAGUGGAAUUCCUGGUGUAGCGGUGAAAUGCGUAGAUAUCAGGAGGAACACCUGCGGUGUAGACGGCUUUCUGGACCAUAACUGACGCUGAGACACGAAAGCGUGGGUAGCAAAC